UACAGAGGGUGCGAGCGUUGUUCGGAAUUACUGGGCGUAAAGCGCACGUAGGCGGCGUCGUAAGUCAGGGGUGAAAUCCCGGAGCUCAACUCCGGAACUGCCCUUGAAACUGCAAUGCUAGAAUCUUGGAGAGGCGAGUGGAAUUCCGAGUGUAGAGGUGAAAUUCGUAGAUAUUCGGAAGAACACCAGUGGCGAAGGCGACUCGCUGGACAAGUAUUGACGCUGAGGUGCGAAAGCGUGGGGAGCAAACAGG
Molecule: ribosomal RNA, 253 nt
Filed under: uncultured bacterium
Lineage: Bacteria
Description: partial 16S ribosomal RNA
Rfam family: Bacterial small subunit ribosomal RNA
Source: RNAcentral